Long non-coding RNA from Malaclemys terrapin pileata, 275 nucleotides. RefSeq lists it as uncharacterized. The transcript has 3 exons. Lineage: Eukaryota; Metazoa; Chordata; Testudines; Emydidae. The record is from RefSeq and is a predicted model, not a curated record.
GCCUCCCCAACGCUGGGGAACGCCACGCCCUCGUUUACCCCCACGGACCCGUCGCCCGUCUGCCUGGGCGUGAGCUGCCGCCGCCAUCCUGGAUCGGCCAGGCUGGGUCAGACCAAAGGUCCAUCUCGCCCAGUAUCCUGUCGGCUGACCGUGGCCGAAGCCAGGUGCUUCAGAAGGAAUGAACAGACCAGGCUCUUGGUCAUAUUGGCCCGCCAAGCCCUUGUUCACAGGCUGCUGCAGCACUCGCCUGUAGGAUCUCGCAGAGCACUAUGGAG